RNAcentral lists this ribosomal RNA (500 nucleotides) under uncultured bacterium. Its description in RNAcentral is "partial 16S ribosomal RNA". It matches the Rfam family "Bacterial small subunit ribosomal RNA", at positions 30 to 523 of the family's 1533-position model. The record is from RNAcentral.
AUUGAACGCUGGCGGCAUGCCUUACACAUGCAAGUCGAACGGCAGCACGGGAGCAAUCCUGGUGGCGAGUGGCGAACGGGUGAGUAAAGUAUCGGAACGUACCUUUCAGUGGGGGAUAACGUAGCGAAAGUUACGCUAAUACCGCAUAUUCUGUGAGCAGGAAAGCAGGGGAUCGCAAGACCUUGCGCUGAUUGAGCGGCCGAUAUCAGAUUAGCUAGUUGGUGAGGUAAAGGCUCACCAAGGCGACGAUCUGUAGCGGGUCUGGGAGGAUGAUCCGCCACACUGGAACUGAGACACGGUCCAGACUCCUACGGGAGGCAGCAGUGGGGAAUUUUGGACAAUGGGCGCAAGCCUGAUCCAGCCAUGCCGCGUGAGUGAAGAAGGCCUUCGGGUUGUAAAGCUCUUUCGGCCGGGAAGAAAUCGUGUGGGUUAAUACCCUGCAUGGAUGACGGUACCGGAAUAAGAAGCACCGGCUAACUACGUGCCAGCCGCCGCCGUAA